UCGUAGGGCUUCGGUCCUGUCGAGAUAGCGUCCUUGCCUAUUUUUUGGAGUACCUUUUCGUUUCCUCGGCAGGCUUGCCUGCCACUGGGGACCCUUUAAACUCUUUGUAAAUACAGCAUCUGUCUGAAUAAACAAACAAAAAUCA
RNAcentral lists this unclassified non-coding RNA (145 nucleotides) under uncultured fungus. RNAcentral's name for it is "sequence contains ITS1, 5.8S rRNA gene". The record is from RNAcentral. Lineage: Eukaryota; Fungi. RNAcentral also lists the same sequence under 1 other name.